This 468-nucleotide ribosomal RNA is filed under the name uncultured bacterium. RNAcentral describes it as "partial 16S ribosomal RNA". It matches the Rfam family "Bacterial small subunit ribosomal RNA", at positions 28 to 507 of the family's 1533-position model. The record is from RNAcentral.
GACGAACGCUGGCGGCGUGCUUAACACAUGCAAGUCGAACGGAAAGGCCCUGCUUUUGUGGGGUGCUCGUGUGGCGAACGGGUGAGUAACACGUGAGUAACCUGCCCUUGACUUUGGGAUAACUUCAGGAAACUGGGGCUAAUACCGGAUAGGAGCUCCUGCUGCAUGGUGGGGGUUGGAAAGUUUCGGCGGUUGGGGAUGGACUCGCGGCUUAUCAGCUUGUUGGUGGGGUAGUGGCUUACCAAGGCUUUGACGGGUAGCCGGCCUGAGAGGGUGACCGGCCACAUUGGGACUGAGAGACGGCCCAGACGCCUACGGGAGGCAGCAGUGGGGAAUAUUGCACAAUGGGCGGAAGCCUGAUGCAGCAACGCCGCGUGCGGGAUGACGGCCUUCGGGUUGUAAACCGCUUUCGCCUGUGACGAAGCGUGAGUGACGGUAAUGGGUAAAGAAGCACCGGCUAACUACGUG